UACGUAGGGUGCGAGCGUUAAUCGGAAUUACUGGGCGUAAAGCGUGCGCAGGCGGUUCGCUAAGACAGAUGUGAAAUCCCCGGGCUUAACCUGGGAACUGCAUUUGUGACUGGCGGGCUAGAGUAUGGCAGAGGGGGGUAGAAUUCCACGUGUAGCAGUGAAAUGCGUAGAGAUGUGGAGGAAUACCCGAUGGCGAAGGCAGCCCCCUGGGCCCAAUACUGACGC
Molecule: ribosomal RNA, 225 nt
Filed under: uncultured bacterium
Lineage: Bacteria
Description: partial 16S ribosomal RNA
Rfam family: Bacterial small subunit ribosomal RNA
Source: RNAcentral